GACGAACCGUGCGAACGUUGUUCGGAAUCACUGGGCUUAAAGGGCGCGUAGGCGGGCCUUCAAGUCCGGGGUGAAAUCCUCCAGUCUAACUGGAGAAGAGCCUCGGAGACUGAGGGCCUCGAGGAGGGUAGGGGCAAGCGGAACUAUGGGUGGAGCGGUGAAAUGCAUUGAUAUCCAUAGGAACGCCGGUGGCGAAGGCGGCUUGCUGGACCAUUUCUGACGCUGAGGCGCGAAAGCCAGGGGAGCAAACGGG
This 253-nucleotide ribosomal RNA is filed under the name uncultured bacterium. RNAcentral describes it as "partial 16S ribosomal RNA". It matches the Rfam family "Bacterial small subunit ribosomal RNA", at positions 524 to 776 of the family's 1533-position model. The record is from RNAcentral.